GUAGGGAAUAUUGCGCAAUGGGGGAAACCCUGACGCAGCGACGCCGCGUGAGUGAUGAAGGCCUUCGGGUCGUAAAGCUCUGUUGCAGGGGAAUAAAAAAAUGAAGGUACCCUGUGAGGAAGGAUCGGCUAACUUCGUGCCAGCAGCCGCGGUAAGACGAGGGAUCCUAGCGUUGCUCGGAAUCAUUGGGCGUAAAGAGGGCGUAGGUGGCGUGGUAAGUCAGGUGUGAAAGCCCAGGGCUCAACCCUGGAAGUGCAUUUGAUACUGCUGAGCUUGAGUGUCGGAGAGGUUACCGGAAUACCUGGUGUAGUGGUGAAAUACGUAGAUAUCAGGUGGAACACCGGAGGCGAAGGCGGGUAACUGGACGAACACUGACACUGAGGCCCGAAAGCGUGGGGAUCAAACAGGAUUAGAAACCCCUGUAGUCC
This 428-nucleotide ribosomal RNA is filed under the name uncultured bacterium. RNAcentral's name for it is "partial 16S ribosomal RNA". It matches the Rfam family "Bacterial small subunit ribosomal RNA", at positions 354 to 796 of the family's 1533-position model. The record is from RNAcentral.